This is a non-coding RNA of Chelonia mydas (Green sea turtle), 135 nucleotides long. The record is from Rfam. NCBI's taxonomy places the organism in Eukaryota, Metazoa, Chordata, Testudines, Cheloniidae.
CAUGCCCCUAGAGGCGUUACACUUGUGGCUGUCAUGCCAUAUGCGUGUCAUUAGGUGGCAGAGAGGAAGAGGCUGCGUCUACGCUCAGUUGUUCUGAAACCUGUGAGCACUCAGAAUGAUUAGUAGCCUAACAUU